RNAcentral lists this non-coding RNA (788 nucleotides) under Liriomyza bryoniae (tomato leaf miner). Lineage: Eukaryota; Metazoa; Arthropoda; Insecta; Diptera; Agromyzidae. The record is from RNAcentral.
AAUAAAGUUUUAUUUUAGCUUAAAAAUUUAUUAUUAAUUAAUUUUAUAUGUAAAUUUUUGUGUGAGUUUAAUAUAAUUUAAAAAAUUAUUUUUAUUUUUAUUAUUCGCAGUAAUUAAUAUUAUAAAUUAAAGAAAUUUAGAAAUAGUUAUAUUAAAAAGUAUUGGUAAAAUUUGUGCCAGCAGCCGCGGUUAUACAAAUAAUACAAAUAAAUUUUAUUAGUUUAAGUUAAAUUAAAUAUUCAUAAUUUUAAAUAUAAAUUUAUUAGGUAAAAUUUUAAAUUUAUUAAAUUUUAAAAUUAAAUGUUAUUAAAGCUUGGAAAUUUUAUUUAAAAACUAGGAUUAGAUACCCUAUUAUUUAAAAUAUAAAUUUAUACUAAAGUAGUAUUAGAUAUGUUCUUGAAAUUUAAAAAAUUUGGCGGUAUUUUAGUCUAUUUAGAGGAAUCUGUCCUAUAAUCGAUAUUCCACGAUGGACCUAACUUAAAUUUGUAAUCAGUUUAUAUACCGUUGUUAUAAGAAUGUUUUAUAAGAAAAAUAAUUUUCUUUAAUUUUUAUUAAAAUUUAUAUCAGAUCAAGGUGUAGCUUAUAUUUAAGUAGAGAUGGAUUACAAUAAAAUUAUUUUUUGGUAAUAAAUUUGAAAUAAUUUAUUUAAAUUGGAUUUAAAAGUAAAAUUAUAGAGAUUAAUAGUUUGAUUUUAGCUCUAAAAUAUGUACACAUCGCCCGUCGCUCUUAUUAUUAAGGUAAGAUAAGUCGUAACAUAGUAGAUGUACCGGAAGGUGUAUCUAGAAUGA